RNAcentral lists this ribosomal RNA (468 nucleotides) under uncultured bacterium. Its description in RNAcentral is "partial 16S ribosomal RNA". It matches the Rfam family "Bacterial small subunit ribosomal RNA", at positions 28 to 507 of the family's 1533-position model. The record is from RNAcentral.
GACGAACGCUGGCGGCGUGCUUAACACAUGCAAGUCGAACGGAAAGGCCCUGCCGUUGUGGGGUGCUCGAGUGGCGAACGGGUGAGUAACACGUGAGUAACCUGCCCUGGACUUUGGGAUAACUUCAGGUAACCGGGGCUAAUAUCGGAUAGGAGCUCCUGCUGCAGGGUGGGGGUGGGAAAGCUUCGGCGGUAGGGGAUGUACCCGCGGCUUAUCAGCUUGUUGGUGGGGUAGUGGCUUACCAAGGCCUUGACGGGUAGCCGGCCUGAGAGGGUGACCGGCCACAUUGGGACUGAGGUACGGCCCAGUCUCCUACGGGAGGCAGCAGUGGGGAAUAUUGCCCAGUGGGCGGAAGCCUGAUGCAGCGACGCCCCGUGCGGGAUGACGUCCUUCGGGUUGUAAACCGCUUUCGCCUGUGACGAAGCGUGCGUGACGGUAAUGGGUAAAGAAGCACCGGCUAACUACGUG